RNAcentral lists this ribosomal RNA (1547 nucleotides) under Enterobacter cloacae. RNAcentral's name for it is "bacterial SSU rRNA". It matches the Rfam family "Bacterial small subunit ribosomal RNA". Lineage: Bacteria; Pseudomonadati; Pseudomonadota; Gammaproteobacteria; Enterobacterales; Enterobacteriaceae. The record is from RNAcentral.
UUAAAUUGAAGAGUUUGAUCAUGGCUCAGAUUGAACGCUGGCGGCAGGCCUAACACAUGCAAGUCGAACGGUAACAGGAAGCAGCUUGCUGCUUUGCUGACGAGUGGCGGACGGGUGAGUAAUGUCUGGGAAACUGCCUGAUGGAGGGGGAUAACUACUGGAAACGGUAGCUAAUACCGCAUAACGUCGCAAGACCAAAGAGGGGGACCUUCGGGCCUCUUGCCAUCGGAUGUGCCCAGAUGGGAUUAGCUAGUAGGUGGGGUAACGGCUCACCUAGGCGACGAUCCCUAGCUGGUCUGAGAGGAUGACCAGCCACACUGGAACUGAGACACGGUCCAGACUCCUACGGGAGGCAGCAGUGGGGAAUAUUGCACAAUGGGCGCAAGCCUGAUGCAGCCAUGCCGCGUGUAUGAAGAAGGCCUUCGGGUUGUAAAGUACUUUCAGCGGGGAGGAAGGCGAUAAGGUUAAUAACCUUGUCGAUUGACGUUACCCGCAGAAGAAGCACCGGCUAACUCCGUGCCAGCAGCCGCGGUAAUACGGAGGGUGCAAGCGUUAAUCGGAAUUACUGGGCGUAAAGCGCACGCAGGCGGUCUGUCAAGUCGGAUGUGAAAUCCCCGGGCUCAACCUGGGAACUGCAUUCGAAACUGGCAGGCUAGAGUCUUGUAGAGGGGGGUAGAAUUCCAGGUGUAGCGGUGAAAUGCGUAGAGAUCUGGAGGAAUACCGGUGGCGAAGGCGGCCCCCUGGACAAAGACUGACGCUCAGGUGCGAAAGCGUGGGGAGCAAACAGGAUUAGAUACCCUGGUAGUCCACGCCGUAAACGAUGUCGACUUGGAGGUUGUGCCCUUGAGGCGUGGCUUCCGGAGCUAACGCGUUAAGUCGACCGCCUGGGGAGUACGGCCGCAAGGUUAAAACUCAAAUGAAUUGACGGGGGCCCGCACAAGCGGUGGAGCAUGUGGUUUAAUUCGAUGCAACGCGAAGAACCUUACCUACUCUUGACAUCCAGAGAACUUUCCAGAGAUGGAUUGGUGCCUUCGGGAACUCUGAGACAGGUGCUGCAUGGCUGUCGUCAGCUCGUGUUGUGAAAUGUUGGGUUAAGUCCCGCAACGAGCGCAACCCUUAUCCUUUGUUGCCAGCGGUCCGGCCGGGAACUCAAAGGAGACUGCCAGUGAUAAACUGGAGGAAGGUGGGGAUGACGUCAAGUCAUCAUGGCCCUUACGAGUAGGGCUACACACGUGCUACAAUGGCGCAUACAAAGAGAAGCGACCUCGCGAGAGCAAGCGGACCUCAUAAAGUGCGUCGUAGUCCGGAUUGGAGUCUGCAACUCGACUCCAUGAAGUCGGAAUCGCUAGUAAUCGUGGAUCAGAAUGCCACGGUGAAUACGUUCCCGGGCCUUGUACACACCGCCCGUCACACCAUGGGAGUGGGUUGCAAAAGAAGUAGGUAGCUUAACCUUCGGGAGGGCGCUUACCACUUUGUGAUUCAUGACUGGGGUGAAGUCGUAACAAGGUAACCGUAGGGGAACCUGCGGUUGGAUCACCUCCUUACCU